Molecule: long non-coding RNA, 444 nt
Filed under: Podarcis muralis (Common wall lizard)
Lineage: Eukaryota; Metazoa; Chordata; Lepidosauria; Squamata; Lacertidae
Description: lncRNA (ENSPMRG00000013154.1)
Source: RNAcentral
UUUAUUUUUUAAGAACAAGCGCACCCAUUCAUAAGGCUAUGGAGCAAAAGCGGAACGGGGGUUGGAGGGGGAGGGAAGAAAAAGGAACGGCCGGAAUACACUGCUGCACAAUGUUCUAUCGGGUUGGAGUGUGACGUCACAGCAGCCAAUCAGAAUGCUGCAUAUUUGCGUAGCAUGGCUUUCCGGGAGGCGCAGUUUCAUUGCUGGCCUGGGGUUAUCUUUAGUGAAGGUUCUGUGAGCUGCAGCGAGAGGUUGCGGGUUGUAAAGUGGCGUCAGAAGAGAAGAGCCAGCUGGCUGCAGCUGGCAUUAAAACAACUACAACCCUACAGGUUAGAUGCAAAAUAACCCAUCUGACAGGCACUUCUACUUUGGCAGUAUGAUUCCAGAAAGCUGCUGCCAUUCAUAUCGUCAACAGUGCCAGUCAAUGCAUCCAAGCAGCCUGAC